UUUUUAGUAUAAAUAUGUCCCAUGCAAUAUUUGGGACAUACUUAUAUCAAAA
This 52-nucleotide microRNA precursor is filed under the name Nomascus leucogenys (northern white-cheeked gibbon). Its description in RNAcentral is "mir-1302 microRNA precursor family". It matches the Rfam family "mir-1302 microRNA precursor family". The record is from Rfam by way of RNAcentral. Lineage: Eukaryota; Metazoa; Chordata; Mammalia; Primates; Hylobatidae.